RNAcentral lists this transfer-messenger RNA (70 nucleotides) under Candidatus Poribacteria bacterium. Its description in RNAcentral is "partial transfer-messenger RNA". It matches the Rfam family "transfer-messenger RNA", at positions 304 to 374 of the family's 374-position model. From Rfam's summary of the family: Bacterial tmRNA, also known as 10Sa RNA or SsrA, is named for its dual tRNA and mRNA-like properties. Its role is to liberate the mRNA from a stalled ribosome. The record is from RNAcentral. Lineage: Bacteria; Candidatus Poribacteria.
UGUGCUAAGCAUGUAGUAGCUUUUAUUGAGGUGCUUUCGGACGCGGGUUCGAUUCCCGCCACCUCCACCA